This 497-nucleotide ribosomal RNA is filed under the name uncultured bacterium. RNAcentral describes it as "partial 16S ribosomal RNA". It matches the Rfam family "Bacterial small subunit ribosomal RNA", at positions 28 to 507 of the family's 1533-position model. The record is from RNAcentral.
GAUGAACGCUGGCGGCGUGCCUAAUACAUGCAAGUCGAGCGAACAGAUGAGGAGCUUGCUCCUCUGACGUUAGCAGCGGACGGGUGAGUAACACGUGGAUAACCUACCUAUAAGACUGGGAUAACUUCGGGAAACCGGAGCUAAUACCGGAUAAUAUAUUGAACCGCAUGGUUCAAUAGUGAAAGACGGUUUUGCUGUCACUUAUAGAUGGAUCUGCGCCGCAUUAGCUAGUUGGUAAGGUAACGGCUUACCAAGGCAACGAUGCGUAGCCGACCUGAGAGGGUGAUCGGCCACACUGGAACUGAGACACGGUCCAGACUCCUACGGGAGGCAGCAGUAGGGAAUCUUCCGCAAUGGGCGAAAGCCUGACGGAGCAACGCCGCGUGAGUGAUGAAGGUCUUCGGAUCGUAAAACUCUGUUAUUAGGGAAGAACAAAUGUGUAAGUAACUAUGCACGUCUUGACGGUACCUAAUCAGAAAGCCACGGCUAACUACGUG